AGCACGAGUACAACGGCGAGCUGCAGCAGACGCUGAUCCGCGGCCUGGGCGAGCGUCAUCUCGAGAUCAUCGUGGGGCGGCUCGCCCGCAAGUUCGGCGUGCACGCCCAGACCGCAAAGCCGAAGGUCGCCUACCGUGAGACGUUCAAGGGAAAAGCGGAAGGCCAGGGGAAGCACAAGAAGCGGACCGGUGGCCGGGGCCAGUACGGCGACUGCUGGAUCCGCAUCGCGCCGCUCCCGCGCGGAUCCGGAUUGCAGUUCGUCGACGAAAUCGUGGGUGGCGUCGUCCCGCGGCAGUACAUCCCGGCGGUCGAGCGGGGGAUCCAGGAGGCCGCGGCGCGCGGUCCCGUGG
RNAcentral lists this unclassified non-coding RNA (351 nucleotides) under uncultured bacterium. RNAcentral describes it as "contains 16S-23S intergenic spacer region". The record is from RNAcentral.